RNAcentral lists this long non-coding RNA (480 nucleotides) under Gossypium raimondii (Peruvian cotton). RNAcentral describes it as "long non-coding RNA (GRAI_LNC004352)". Lineage: Eukaryota; Viridiplantae; Streptophyta; Magnoliopsida; Malvales; Malvaceae. The record is from RNAcentral.
GUGUCCAAAAAUGCUGAAGGGAUCGCUCUUCUUUCCUACUCAAAGACCCAAAAAGGGGUACCCUCCGCUUUCGCUGCCGAAGCACUUGCAUGCUGUAAAGUAGUUCAAAUAGGUAUUGAAAUGCAGUGGCUGGAGAUCAUUAUUGAAAAGGACUCAUUAGCCAUCAUCAAAAAGUGUCAAUCAAAAAGUCAAGAUAGAUCACAAGUAGGAGUGUACAUUCACGAUAUUCAUAAGAUAAUAGACAAAUUCAACAAUAUUGUGUUCAAACAUACUCCGAGAUCAGAAAAUGGUUUAGCCCAUAUACUAGCAACAGAAUCUCUGAAGAAGACGGAGGAGUUUUACCUGUUAAAGAAUGUCUCUGGGUAUGCCGAGAAGCAAAAGAUUGCUAACUGGAUGCGAGAACCAUAUUGAAAUUGGCCGGGGGAGGGGAAAGGUGAAAGGAAAGUAUCACAUAGAAGCUAAAAAGUUUUUUUGAAGAAC